AUGCUUGUCUACGAGUACAUGCCCAUAGGCUCCCUCGCCGGCCUCCUCUUCCGCAACGGUGCAUGCCUGAGCUGGUGCGACCGGUACUGCAUCAUGGUCGGUGUGGCGAGAGGGCUGGCGUACCUGCACCUUCGCUGCCACGAGUGCAUCAUACACUGUGACAUCAAGCCGGAGAACAUCCUUCUAGAUGAGGACAUGUCCCCGAGAAUCGCCGAUUUUGGGAUGGCAAAGCUGGUUGGGAGGGACUUCAGCCGCGCGCUGACAAUGAUGCGGGGCACCAUAGGGUACCUGGCGCUGGAAUGGAUCUCUGGGCACCCUAUCAGUGCCAAGGCAGACGUCUACAGCUUUGGUAUGGUGCUCUUUGAGCUCAUCCCGGGACGACGAAACUCUGAGGGAUACAGCGAGGUGGAGGCAGCAGGGAGCGGGAGUAGUGAUUCGUGGACCUUCUUCCCGGUGUGGGCUACAGGAAAGAUUGUUGAAAGGAAGGUGGGCGAGUUGGCUGACCCGCGGCUGCGCGGCCAAGUGAGGCUAGAGGAGCUGGAGCGGGCAUGCAGGGUGGCGUGCUGGUGCAUCCAGGACGAGGAGGCGUUGCGGCCCACCAUGGCGCAGGUCGUGCAGGUGUUGGAGGGCAUGGUCCAUGUCCACGUGCCACCGGUGCCGCGAGUGCUACAGCACAUCGUCUCAUGA
RNAcentral lists this ribosomal RNA (687 nucleotides) under Triticum aestivum (bread wheat). RNAcentral's name for it is "partial small subunit ribosomal RNA". Lineage: Eukaryota; Viridiplantae; Streptophyta; Magnoliopsida; Poales; Poaceae. The record is from RNAcentral.